AGCCGCGGUAAUACGGAGGGGGCUAGCGUUGUUCGGAAUUACUGGGCGUAAAGCGCACGUAGGCGGCUUUCCAAGUUGGGGGUGAAAUCCCGGGGCUCAACCCCGGAACUGCCCUUGAAACUGCAGCGCUAGAAUCUUGGAGAGGCGAGUGGAAUUCCGAGUGUAGAGGUGAAAUUCGUAGAUAUUCGGAAGAACACCAGUGGCGAAGGCGACUCGCUGGACAAGUAUUGACGCUGAGGUGCGAAAGCGUGGGGAGCAAACA
RNAcentral lists this ribosomal RNA (262 nucleotides) under uncultured bacterium. RNAcentral describes it as "partial 16S ribosomal RNA". It matches the Rfam family "Bacterial small subunit ribosomal RNA", at positions 513 to 774 of the family's 1533-position model. The record is from RNAcentral.